RNAcentral lists this ribosomal RNA (200 nucleotides) under uncultured bacterium. RNAcentral's name for it is "partial 16S ribosomal RNA". It matches the Rfam family "Bacterial small subunit ribosomal RNA", at positions 524 to 724 of the family's 1533-position model. The record is from RNAcentral.
UACGGAGGGUCCAAGCGUUAUCCGGAAUCAUUGGGUUUAAAGGGUCCGCAGGCGGUCAAUUAAGUCAGAGGUGAAAGCCCAUCGCUCAACGAUGGAACUGCCUUUGAUACUGGUUGACUUGAGUUAUACGGAAGUAGAUAGAAUAAGUAGUGUAGCGGUGAAAUGCAUAGAUAUUACUUAGAAUACCGAUUGCGAAGCAG